This 257-nucleotide ribosomal RNA is filed under the name uncultured prokaryote. RNAcentral's name for it is "partial 16S ribosomal RNA". It matches the Rfam family "Bacterial small subunit ribosomal RNA", at positions 524 to 780 of the family's 1533-position model. The record is from RNAcentral.
UACGGAGGAUGCGAGCGUUAUCCGGAUUUAUUGGGUUUAAAGGGUGCGCAGGCGGGAGAUUAAGUCGGCGGUGAAAUUUUGCAGCUCAACUGUAAAAGUGCCGUUGAUACUGUGAGGCUAGGAUUUGGUUGCUGUGGGUGGAAUGUGUGGUGUAGCGGUGAAAUGCAUAGAUAUCACGAGGAACUCCGAUUGCGAAGGCAGCUUACUAAGCUACUACUGACGCUCAGGCACGAAGGCGUGGGGAUCAAACAGGAUUA